CACAACCACAACGAUAACACCAACAGUCUGAUCUGAAAAGAACACAAUGAUCAUAUUCUUCUGUUUCAUGUUGAAGGUGUUACUAGUUUCAGGUUCUUCCUUCAGUGACAGCGUUCACCAGAAUCCAUCUGACAUCUACAACAAACCAGGGGAAUCCACCAACAUCACCUGUUCACACAGCAUCGACAACUACGACCGAAUCCUGUGGUAUAAACAACUAAAGGACAGGAAACUACAAUUCCUUGGAUACGUUUUUAAGAAUCUUCAUAGCCCUGAGGCUGGGAUGGGUGUGCAGAUGUCAGGGACUGCAGAUAUAAAGAAAACCUGCACAUUAACCAUUGAAGACCUCAGCCUGAACAGCAGCGCCGUUUACUUCUGUGCUGCCAGUCAACACACGGUGACACAAAUCAACAUGCAUGCACUGAGCGGGAUGUGA
Molecule: non-coding RNA, 436 nt
Organism: Sphaeramia orbicularis (orbiculate cardinalfish)
Lineage: Eukaryota; Metazoa; Chordata; Actinopteri; Kurtiformes; Apogonidae
Source: the annotation of a RefSeq genome assembly